Molecule: transfer RNA, 73 nt
Filed under: Butastur liventer (rufous-winged buzzard)
Lineage: Eukaryota; Metazoa; Chordata; Aves; Accipitriformes; Accipitridae
Description: tRNA-Asn
Source: RNAcentral
UAGGUAGAAGCUCGCUGGUUGGGGCACCUAGCUGUUAACUAGGGUUUCAUGGGAUCAAGGCCCAUCUGCCUAG